Long non-coding RNA from Oncorhynchus tshawytscha (Chinook salmon), 4931 nucleotides. Lineage: Eukaryota; Metazoa; Chordata; Actinopteri; Salmoniformes; Salmonidae. The record is from Ensembl.
CUUUAGUACAUCCCAAGUUAUCAGCUUGAUGAGGCAAUGCUGGACUUCCCUUCGUUGGAAAAUCUACACAUUUCCCAUGAUAGAUUUACACUCAUUUAAUCACAGCCAUGUGUGAAAUAGCACCCGUAUCAUUGAAUAACGUUGCAAAUGACAGAAGUAAAAAGACGGCUGCGUGUUUUUCUUAGACUUGCCAGAGACCCAGAUAUGUCUUUAAACUGUGAGAAAAAUGAACUGUGUUCCGAAUCGUAUGUCUAAACAGCAACGGCUAACUCAGGGGAUGCAUUCGGAAUCUGUGGAUUUUCUUGGCACUUCGCUGAAGAUGUUAUAUUUGCUUAUCGUUUGGCCAGUUGCUGUCGUCACUUCGACUCGCACUGGAGCACUUCACCUCAUUAUAGAACGUCAAAAACGUCCUAUAUCUUCCUUCCUGUUGGAUAUCUUGGAUAAACAAACCACUUGGCUUGAGAACCGCAGGCCUCCGUUUCAGAAGGGGAGGCGAGUUAAUAGCUGUGUCGUCCCGAGCAGUUUCCCAGCUACUGGUUACGCUAGGCUAGGUCAAUAAAACCCAAUCCCCCAGAAAUGUUCUCUCAAAUUUUACAGGCACUCCGAUUUAUUUUCACUUUGUGUAAAACAAAUGAGCAAGGCAAUAAAGUAGAUAGCAUUUUUUUUCAUCUUUGGGGCCAAGUCCAACAUAAAUACAUGACUGAAUAAAAAAUAAUUGAUGUAGCGAACAACGAAAUAACAGUGAGACUAUGGUUGUAAUUUAAUACCAGUGGAACGAUAUAACUAAAAUGAGGUCUGUAGCCUAAUAAUGUCAACGCUAAUAUACUGUAUUCAUUUUUUUUUUAUUGAGUCAGUGUAAUGGUGGAGAACUGAACAUGACACGUUGUGCUAUUCUGGGAAUAACAAGUGAGUCUUAAAUUUGAGUUUCAAAUUUACUCACCAGAAAAGUCCCCCAAAAAUGGAAAUGACAUCGCAUUUAUUUUCAGUUGCUGUAUUGCAUACGUUCACAUAACAGCAUUUCAUACACAAAUUUAACCAAUGGAAAUGCUGGAAUACAGGCUUUAUCUGCCCCCAUUGUAGCGCUACAUGAUAAAGAGGACAUUCAAACACGCAUUAGACUGUUUACCAUACAUUACAUUGAGGUGUCCAGCAAUCUAUUAUAUUGAGUCUGCCUUUCACAAAAGUUGUAAUGUAUUUAAAGAUGCAAUAUGUACAUUUUUGGGGGGAACGCAACAAAAUUCACAUAGAAAUAUCAGUUAAAGAUCUGUCAUUUUCAUUGAAAUCAAUUCUAAGAAACAGUAAUCUGUUCUAACUGCGCUAUUUCUAUGCUUCCAGUUUUUAAGUUUAAUUUUUGUAUCUUUUACGUUCGGUUUUGUACACCAGCUUCAAACAGCUGAAAAUAUACUUUUAGUUAUGGAAAAGAUAUUUCACAGCACUUCAGAUGAUACAACGAUUCUCUGCAUUUUACUUGGUGGUUUUCUCACAAACUGAAAUUAGGAAAACUAAAACUAACCAUUUUUGCAAUCAGGAAAUGGCAGAGUGAUUUCUGCAUAGUGCCUCUUUAAAAGGUAGUAACAGAUUUUAUUUGUUGAUUGGAAAAGGGGGUUGGCUAACUAACUUUGUUGGCUAGCAGAGCCUGCACUGUAAGUCACAAAAUAAGGAAUUGCAAUACUUGGCAGCAUAGAUUGCCUCCCACUUGUGAGGCACCAAUGCGGUAUGCAUCAUUAAAAGGCACUAUGUUCCAGAAUUAGGCUUAUUUUCUUUAUUUGUUAAACAAACAAGAUUUAUCUUCAAUGAGAAAUGGCCUGAGACCUUUUUCUCAGCGAUAAAGAUGGAUCGGAUAAACUCUGCUCUACCCUUGGAUUUCCAACUUGUUUUCAGGCUUGUCGGUGCUCCUUCUAAAUGAUCCAGAAAAUGCCCCUAAUGGAAAUUGCAGGUGGGAAAUGCAUUAUAAAUCUGGGGGUCUUGCUACCAUUUCAUUUGGAAAGAAGCGGUUAAUCUACAAUUUUAAUAUAGAGAGAAAACAUUCCUGAGUAAUUACUGUGCAUUAUAAAAUACUGUAUACAGGACAAGCAACUAGCAUGGCUGAUUAGGGCCUAACUGGCUUCCAAAAUGGCACCGAUUUAGGACCUAUUUUUCUUCGAAGUGAGUCUGUAAAUGAAGCCAGUCCAUAAGGUUUAUUUAAUUAUGAGCGUACAAUAAUGGACCCUUGUAUUUCGGCACUACGAGGAAAACUAUCCAAACACACUGAAGGUGACGCACACCACCAAAACAUCUGUGCUAUUUCUCCCCUACCUGCUGUAAAAAGCAUUACUUUUUUAUUUUUUUUAAAAAGACAUUAAAACAAUAAAUAAUGAACUUGAUUGAGUUUGUAUGUUAACCACCUGUAACGUGAAAAAGCUACAUUGGGGCAAAGCAGUGUGGAACUUAUUUACAUUCGGCUCAUCACCACCUCCAUUAAGCACAGAGCCGUUUGAAAUGGAGACAACAAUGACAUUCUAGACGAUUCUGUGCUUCUAACUUUGUGGCAACAGUUUGAGGAAGGCCCUUUCCUGUUUCAGCAUGACAAAGUGAGGUACAGAUAUGGUUUGUCAAGAUCGGUGCGGAUGAAUUUGCCUGAUAUGCUAUGAUAUGCAAGUCAAUAACUGAUUCAUGGUCAGCUGGUAGAUGUAGUCAGUGUGUCACAAGGUUUGAAAACCACUCAAACCAAUCAUUGAAAUAGGAGGCUACAUUACAGAAGUGGCAUAACCUGUAUUCAUCAUGAGACGGUUACCGUGAAUUAAAAACGGGAUCAUUUGGCAUGACAUGAUUGGGCUCCCACGAGUGGCGCAGCGGUCUAAGGCACUGCAUCUCAGGGUUUGAGGCGUCACUACAGACACCCUGGUUUGAUUCCGGGCAGUAUAACAGCCAGCCGUGAUUGGGAGUCCCAUAGGGCGGUGCACAAUUGGCCCAGCGUCGUCUCGGGGUUGGCCGGUGUAAGCCGUCAUUGUAAAUACGAAUUUGUUCUUAACUGACUUGACUAGUUAAAUAAAAGGUUAAAUAUAUAUAUAUAUAUAUAUAUAUAUUUUUUUUUAAAUGACUGGUAGAUUGUGUAUUAGGCUACAUUAGGUACAUUGUGCAGUAGGAUAAUUCAAGUCCAUUCAUAUUAGCAUAGUUUUAAUACAUAAGAAUUAGGCUGAUCACAAAAACCCAUCUCAAAAUUCACUGAUAAUCAGUGAUAGUACUGCAUCAAGAGUUCUCUAUAAGUACCCUUGUAGUAUGUCAUAGUAUAUGGUUUCAUGUUGGGAUGGUAUGUUUCAGUUAAUACCGUGUGUUUCAUGUACAUAGAGUAUUGAACACUGGUCACUAUAAUAAUGUUUACAUACUGUUUCAACCACUUCAUAUGACCAUUACCGUUCAAAAGUUUGGGGUCACUUAAAAAUGUCCUUGUUUUUGAAAGAAAAGCACCUUUUUUCCCCCAUUAAAAUAACAUCAAAUUGAUCAGAAAUACAGUGAAGGUUAAAUGUUGUAAAUGACUAUUGUAGCUGGAAACAGCAGAUUUUUCAUGGAAUAUCUACGUAGGUGUACAGAUGCCCAUUAUAAGCAAACGUCACUCCUGUGUUCAAAUGGCAAGUUCUGUUAGCCUUUUAAAAUGAUAAACUUGGAUUAGCUAACUGAUCAUUAGAAAAUCAUUUUGCAAUUAUGUUAGUACAGCUGAAAACUGUUGUGCUGAUUAAAGAAGUAAUACAACUGGCCUUCAUUAGACUUGUUGAGUGGGAGACAGUUUGCGCUGUUCUGUGAAGGGAGUAGUACACAGCGCUGUACCAGAUCUUCAGUUUCUUGGCAAUUUCUCACAUGGAACAGUCUUCAUUUCUCAGAACAAAAAUAGACUGACGAGUUUCAGAAGACAGUUAUUUGUUUCUGGCCAUUUGAGCCUGUAAUCGAACCCACAAAUGCUGAUGCUCCAGAUACUCAACUAGUCUAAAGAAGGCCAGUUGUAUUGCUUCCUUAAAUCAGAACAGUUUUCAGCUGUGCUAACACAAUUGCAAAAGGGUUUUCUAAUUAGCCUAUUAAAAGGAUCAACUUUGAUUAGCUAACAACGUGCCAUUAAAACACAGGAGUGAUGGUUGCUGAUAAUGGGCCUCUGUACGCCUAUAUAGAUAUCCCAUACAAAAUAUGCCGUUUCCAGCUACAAUAGUUGUUUACAACACUAACAAUGUCUACACUGUAUUUCUGAUCAAUUUGAUGUUAUUUUAAAAUGGACAUAAAAUGUGCUUUUCUUUCAAAAACAAGGACAUUUCUAAGUCACCCCAAACUUUUGAACGUUAAUGUAUAUACCUCAUUCUAGUUAUGGCUCAUCCAAUAUAUAUCUACUGCUGUACAUACAUGUUCUAUUCAUUUACUGUCCAUACACACCAUCCUAUAUAACUACUGUCUAUACACACCAUCCUAUAUAACUAUUGUCUAUACACACCAUCCUAUAUAACUACUAUAUAACUACUGUCCAUACUGUCUAUACACACCAUCCUAUAUAACUAUUGUCUAUACACACCAUCCUAUAUAACUCCUGUCCAUACAUACCAUACUAUAUAACUACUGUCCAUACUGUCUAUACACACCAUCCUAUAUAACUACUGUCUAUAUACACCAUCCUAUAUAACUACUGUCUAUACACACCAUCCUAUUAUAACUACUGUCCAUACACACCAUCCUAUAUAACUACUGUCCAUACACACCAUCCAUAUAACUACUGUCCAUACUGUCUAUACACACCAUCCUAUAUAACUACUGUCCAUACACACCAUCCUAUAUAACUACUGUCCAUACUGUCUAUACACACCAUCCUAUAUAACUACUGUCUAUACACACAAUCCUGUAUAACUACUGUCUAUACACACCAUCCUAUUAUAACUACUGUCCAUACACACCAUCCUAUAUAACUACUGUCCAUA